GACGAACGCUGGCGGCGUGCUUAACACAUGCAAGUCGAACGGAAAGGCCUGCUUUCCCUUGUGGAUUGCGGGUACUCGAGUGGCGAACGGGUGAGUAACACGUGAGUGAUCUGCCCCCAACUUGGGUAUAAGCCUGGGAAACUGGGUCUAAUUCCCGAUAGGACUGCAGGGUGGUGCCUGUGGUGGAAAACGAUUUUCUAGUGGUUGGGGAUGAGCUCGCGGCCUAUCAGCUUGUUGGUGGGGUAAUGGCCUACCAAGGCGGCGACGGGUAGCCGGCCUGAGAGGGUGGACGGCCACAUUGGGACUGAGAUCAGGCCCAGACUCCUACGGGAGGCAGCAGUGGGGAAUAUUGCACAAUGGGCGGAAGCCUGAUGCAGCGACGCCGCGUGGGGGAUGACGGCCUUCGGGUUGUAAACUCCUUUCGACCGCGAGGAAGCCACCUGGUUGGAAGGGUGGUGACGGUAGUGGUAGAAGAAGCACCGGCUAACUACGUG
RNAcentral lists this ribosomal RNA (494 nucleotides) under uncultured bacterium. RNAcentral describes it as "partial 16S ribosomal RNA". It matches the Rfam family "Bacterial small subunit ribosomal RNA", at positions 28 to 507 of the family's 1533-position model. The record is from RNAcentral.